Molecule: non-coding RNA, 135 nt
Organism: Hordeum vulgare subsp. vulgare (domesticated barley)
Lineage: Eukaryota; Viridiplantae; Streptophyta; Magnoliopsida; Poales; Poaceae
Source: Rfam
UAUACACUUCCUCCGUCUCAAUAUUCUUGUCUUAGGUUUAUCUAGAAAUGAAUGUAUCUAAGUACUAUAACAUGACUGGAUGCAUUCAUAUCUAACAAAUCUAAGAUAAAUUUUUUGAGAGGGAGGGAGUAUAUA